GUUCGGAUUGCAGGCUGCAACCCGCCUGCAUGAAGUUGGAAUCGCUAGUAAUCGCGGAUCAGCAUGCCGCGGUGAAUACGUUCCCGGGCCUUGUACACACCGCCCGUCACACCAUGAGAGUCGGGAACACCCGAAGUCCGUAGCCUGACCGCAAGGGGGCGCGGCCGAAGGUGGGUUCGAUAAUUGGGGUGAAGUCGUAACAAGGUAGC
RNAcentral lists this ribosomal RNA (209 nucleotides) under uncultured bacterium. RNAcentral describes it as "partial 16S ribosomal RNA". It matches the Rfam family "Bacterial small subunit ribosomal RNA", at positions 1291 to 1500 of the family's 1533-position model. The record is from RNAcentral.